GAUCCUGGCUCAGAUUGAACGCUGGCGGCAGGCUUAACACAUGCAAGUCGAACGGUAACAUAAAGGAGCUUGCUUCUUUGAUGACGAGUGGCGGACGGGUGAGUAAUGCUUGGGAAUCUAGCUUAUGGAGGGGGAUAACUACGGGAAACUGUAGCUAAUACCGCGUAGAAUCGGGAGAUGAAAGUGUGGGACCUUCGGGCCACAUGCCAUAGGAUGAGCCCAAGUGGGAUUAGGUAGUUGGGUG
RNAcentral lists this ribosomal RNA (244 nucleotides) under uncultured bacterium. RNAcentral describes it as "partial 16S ribosomal RNA". It matches the Rfam family "Bacterial small subunit ribosomal RNA", at positions 15 to 255 of the family's 1533-position model. The record is from RNAcentral.